RNAcentral lists this ribosomal RNA (486 nucleotides) under uncultured bacterium. RNAcentral's name for it is "partial 16S ribosomal RNA". It matches the Rfam family "Bacterial small subunit ribosomal RNA", at positions 30 to 507 of the family's 1533-position model. The record is from RNAcentral.
AUUGAACGCUGGCGGCAUGCCUUACACAUGCAAGUCGAACGGCAGCACGGGUGCUUGCACCUGGUGGCGAGUGGCGAACGGGUGAGUAAUACAUCGGAACAUGUCCUGUAGUGGGGGAUAGCCCGGCGAAAGCCGGAUUAAUACCGCAUACGAUCCACGGAUGAAAGCGGGGGACCUUCGGGCCUCGCGCUAUAGGGUUGGCCGAUGGCUGAUUAGCUAGUUGGUGGGGUAAAGGCCUACCAAGGCGACGAUCAGUAGCUGGUCUGAGAGGACGACCAGCCACACUGGGACUGGGACACGGCCCAGACUCCUACGGGAGGCAGCAGUUGGGAAUUUUGGACAAUGGGCGAAAGCCUGAUCCAGCAAUGCCGCGUGUGUGAAGAAGGCCUUCGGGUUGUAAAGCACUUUUGUCCGGAAAGAAAUCCUUGACUCUAAUACAGUCGGGGGAUGACGGUACCGGAAGAAUAAGCACCGGCUAACUACGUG